UCUGCAACCCGACUCCACGAAGUUGGAUUCGCUAGUAAUCGCGCAUCAGCCAUGGCGCGGUGAAUACGUUCCCGGGCCUUGUACACACCGCCCGUCAAGCCAUGGGAGCCGGGGGCGCCUGAAGUCCGGGACCGCGAGGACCGGCCUAGGGCGAAACUGGUAACUGGGGCUAAGUCGUAACAAGGUAUC
Molecule: ribosomal RNA, 189 nt
Filed under: uncultured bacterium
Lineage: Bacteria
Description: partial 16S ribosomal RNA
Rfam family: Bacterial small subunit ribosomal RNA
Source: RNAcentral